Molecule: ribosomal RNA, 254 nt
Filed under: uncultured bacterium
Lineage: Bacteria
Description: partial 16S ribosomal RNA
Rfam family: Bacterial small subunit ribosomal RNA
Source: RNAcentral
UACGUAGGGUGCAAGCGUUGUCCGGAAUUAUUGGGCGUAAAGAGCUCGUAGGCGGUCUGUCGCGUCUGCUGUGAAAACUCGGGGCUCAACCCCGAGCCUGCAGUCGAUACGGGCAGACUAGAGUCCGGCAGGGGAGACUGGAAUUCCUGGUGUAGCGGUGAAAUGCGCAGAUAUCAGGAGGAACACCGGUGGCGAAGGCGGGUCUCUGGGCCGGAACUGACGCUGAGGAGCGAAAGCGUGGGGGAGCGAACAGG